CCGCGUGAGUGAUGAAGGUUUUCGGAUCGUAAAGCUCUGUUGUUAGGGAAGAACAAGUGCCGUUCAAAUAGGGCGGCACCUUGACGGUACCUAACCAGAAAGCCACGGCUAACUACGUGCCAGCAGCCGCGGUAAUACGUAGGUGGCAAGCGUUGUCCGGAAUUAUUGGGCGUAAAGGGCUCGCAGGCGGUUUCUUAAGUCUGAUGUGAAAGCCCCCGGCUCAACCGGGGAGGGUCAUUGGAAACUGGGGAACUUGAGUGCAGAAGAGGAGAGUGGAAUUCCACGUGUAGCGGUGAAAUGCGUAGAGAUGUGGAGGAACACCAGUGGCGAAGGCGACUCUCUGGUCUGUAACUGACGCUGAGGAGCGAAAGCGUGGGGAGCGAACAGGAUUAGAUACCCUGGUAGUCCACGCCGUAAACGAUGAGUGCUAAGUGUUAGGGGGUUUCCGCCCCUUAGUGCUGCAGCUAACGCAUUAAGCACUCCGCCUGGGGAGUACGGUCGCAAGACUGAAACUCAAAGGAAUUGACGGGGGCCCGCACAAGCGGUGGAGCAUGUGGUUUAAUUCGAAGCAACGCGAAGAACCUUACCAGGUCUUGACAUCCUCUGACAAAUCCUAGAGAUAGGACGUCCCCUUCGGGGGCAGAGUGACAGGUGGUGCAUGGUUGUCGUCAGCUCGUGUCGUGAGAUGUUGGGUUAAGUCCCGCAACGAGCGCA
This 714-nucleotide ribosomal RNA is filed under the name Bacillus sp. (in: firmicutes). RNAcentral's name for it is "bacterial SSU rRNA". It matches the Rfam family "Bacterial small subunit ribosomal RNA", at positions 397 to 1100 of the family's 1533-position model. Lineage: Bacteria; Bacillati; Bacillota; Bacilli; Caryophanales; Bacillaceae. The record is from RNAcentral.